GUAUAUAAUCAUUACUAUUCUACUUUUAACAUUCAUAACUCUCUCUCUUUCCAACCAAUAACAAACUCUCGCUUUCUCUCACUUUCCCUAGAAAAUUCAACUUGCUAGCUUUCACCAAUCUCAGACAAUCUAAUAAUUUGGAAGUUGUUGAUUUCACAUUCAACAAUUUCUUGGUCUUUUUGGUCAUCAAUUGGGACAUUAAAUUGGAGUUUGCUAGCUUUCAAGAAUCUGAUAACUUGGAAGUUAUUGAUUUCACAUUCAGCAAUUUCUUGGUCUUUUUGAUCAGCAGUCUGAAAAUUAAAUUCAAGUUUGGUAGCUUUCAAGAAUCUGAUAGCUUGGGCACCGUUGAUUUCACGUUCAGCAAUUUCUUGGUCUUUUUGGUCAUCAAUCCGUCUCAGCUUUCUCCAGAAAAUUAUAUUCGAGUUUGCUAGCUUUCAAGAAUCUGAUAACUAGGAAGUCGUUGAUUUCGCAUCAGCAAUUUCUUGGUCCUUUUGGUCAUCAAUCCGAAAAUUAAAUUCAAGCUUGGUAGCUUUCAAGAAUCUGAUAGCUUGGGUAUCGUUGAUUACGCAUUCGGCCGGUAAUUUCUUCUGAGUCUUGUUCAUCAUCGAUUAGGAUCCGUCAAGAAGAGUAGCUGGUAACCUUUGAUAUUCCAAGUUCCAAUGGCGCUUCCACCAGAAACUGAACGUAUGCUUAUUGCUCUUCAAGCCUUUCUGGAUGCCCCACCACCUCCUUGCUACUUCCGCUGCACCCGUUGCCAUCAUUACGUUACUUCUGACCUCAAUUUGAUUCAGGAUCUUUAUCCAUUUUCCAUGACUCAGCUCCUCUUUGAACCCGACGUUACCGGUGUGAUGCAUGGAGAAUACGAUCAACCGAUUCAUGGUCAAUAUGUUGGUGCAUUUCCUGAAUUGAGUCAUGUAGAUUUGGUUUCUAUCUACUGCAUUCCAUGUGGAAACUGGCUUGGGUGGAAAAUAAUUUUGCAGCACGCUGACCACCCUGUAAUCCGUGAAGGGCAAUUCAUACUCAGAUAUGGUGCUGGUGCAGGCAUAGAGGCUGUAUUUCCUAUGGAUUUUUUUCUAUAGAUUUCUAUUCAAAUGUUGUGAUGUCUGAUUGUGAAUAUAAUCGCAAUUGUUACUACUACUUGCUGAAAUAUAUAGUGUGAUGUCUGAUUGUGAA
Molecule: RNA transcript, 1173 nt
Organism: Vitis vinifera (wine grape)
Lineage: Eukaryota; Viridiplantae; Streptophyta; Magnoliopsida; Vitales; Vitaceae
Exons: 9
Source: RefSeq, a predicted model, not a curated record